Molecule: long non-coding RNA, 771 nt
Filed under: Homo sapiens (human)
Lineage: Eukaryota; Metazoa; Chordata; Mammalia; Primates; Hominidae
Description: novel transcript
Source: RNAcentral
ACUGGAUCCUAUUAAAUAAUUCAAUGGUAGCGGUGUAAUUUUGGUUGGAACCAGCACGGAUUCCCAAGUCGUGACUGCAAAAAGUGGUCAAACCUGUCCUGACACCCAGAGGUCUGCAUGAGGGGUGGCCACUGAAGGAGGAGUUCUCAAAGGCCACAGGUGAUGAAGAGCUUGGAUGAAUAAACUUAGAAGUCCCAGGAAAAUAGCAAAAAUUUCAUCUCCUGAAGAAAUUUGAAGAUUUUUUUGGAUAUUCUUUUAAAGGUGAAACUUUUCUUCUUUAGUUGUCACAGGUAGUACUGAUGGAAUUGGAAAAUCAUAUGCAGAAGAGUUAGCAAAGCAUGGAAUGAAGGUUGUCCUUAUCAGCAGAUCAAAGGAUAAACUUGACCAGGUUUCCAGUGAAAUAAAAGAAAAAUUCAAAGUGGAGACAAGAACCAUUGCUGUUGACUUUGCAUCAGAAGAUAUUUAUGAUAAAAUUAAAACAGGCUUGGCUGGUCUUGAAAUCGGCAUCUUAGUGAACAACGUGGGAAUGUCGUAUGAGUAUCCUGAAUACUUUUUGGAUGUUCCUGACUUGGACAAUGUGAUCAAGAAAAUGAUAAAUAUUAAUAUUCUUUCUGUUUGUAAGAUGACACAAUUGGUACUGCCUGGCAUGGUGGAAAGAUCCAAAGGGGCUAUUCUGAACAUUUCAUCUGGCAGUGGCAUGCUCCCUGUCCCACUCUUGACCAUCUAUUCUGCAACCAAGACUUUUGUAGAUUUCUUCUCUCAGUGCCUCCA